This 215-nucleotide long non-coding RNA is filed under the name Setaria italica (foxtail millet). Its description in RNAcentral is "long non-coding RNA (SITA_LNC001221)". The record is from RNAcentral. Lineage: Eukaryota; Viridiplantae; Streptophyta; Magnoliopsida; Poales; Poaceae.
CUGCUUGUUUUGCUGUUCCCCCGUGUCAAUAUGCUUCAGCCACGGCGCAUUGAUCCUCAGCAAAGUUUUUCGAGGAAUUAUGAUUAACAAAGUUACCCGCAAGGAUACUGCCAGUAACAAGCUGUCGCAAUUCUCCUGCAAGGUUUGAGAAGAAAAAAAAGCUGUCGCUCCUACGAGGUUAUCUGCUGGGUCACUGGACGCAAUUUGCCAAUAGG